This 341-nucleotide ribosomal RNA is filed under the name Olbiogaster sp. DK-2016. RNAcentral's name for it is "partial 16S ribosomal RNA". The record is from RNAcentral. Lineage: Eukaryota; Metazoa; Arthropoda; Insecta; Diptera; Anisopodidae.
UCUUUUAAUUGAAGGCUAGAAUGAAUGGUUGGAUGAAACAUUAACUGUCUUAUAAAAAAUUAAUAUAAAAUUUUAUUUUUUAAUUAAAAAGUUAAAAUGUUAUUAAAAGACGAGAAGACCCUAUAGAGUUUUAUAUUAUUAUAAUUUAAAUAGUUUAGAAUUCUUUUGUUUUAAUUAAAAAUAAUAUUUUAUUGGGGUGAUAAUAAAAUUAAAUAAACUUUUAUGAUUAAUUAUCAUAAAUUAAUGAUUUAAUGAUCCAUUAUUAAUGAUUAAAAAUUUAAAUUACCUUAGGGAUAACAGCGUUAUAUUUUUGGAGAGUUCUUAUCGAUAAAAAAGAUUGC